Molecule: ribosomal RNA, 570 nt
Filed under: uncultured Salinivibrio sp.
Lineage: Bacteria; Pseudomonadati; Pseudomonadota; Gammaproteobacteria; Vibrionales; Vibrionaceae
Description: bacterial SSU rRNA
Rfam family: Bacterial small subunit ribosomal RNA
Source: RNAcentral
GCGAAAGCGUGGGUAGCAAACAGGAUUAGAUACCCUGGUAGUCCACGCCGUAAACGCUGUCUACUUGGAGGUUGAGGUUUAAGACUUUGGCUUUCGGCGCUAACGCAUUAAGUAGACCGCCUGGGGAGUACGGCCGCAAGGUUAAAACUCAAAUGAAUUGACGGGGGCCCGCACAAGCGGUGGAGCAUGUGGUUUAAUUCGAUGCAACGCGAAGAACCUUACCUACUCUUGACAUCCAGCGAAGCCUUUAGAGAUAGAGGUGUGCCUUCGGGAGCGCUGAGACAGGUGCUGCAUGGCUGUCGUCAGCUCGUGUUGUGAAAUGUUGGGUUAAGUCCCGCAACGAGCGCAACCCUUAUCCUUGUUUGCCAGCACGUAAUGGUGGGAACUCCAGGGAGACUGCCGGUGAUAAACCUGGAGGAAGGUGGGGACGACGUCAAGUCAUCAUGGCCCUUACGAGUAGGGCUACACACGUGCUACAAUGGCAGAUACAGAGGGCAGCGAAGCUGCGAAGUGGAGCGAAUCCCUUAAAGUUUGUCGUAGUCCGGAUUGGAGUCUGCAACUCGACUCCAU